CCUCACCUGGGGAAUCAGGACUCUGAGUCCAGCUUCUCAACAUGAGGCUCCCUGCUCAGCUCCUGGGGCUGCUGAUGCUCUGCCUGCCUGGAUCCACGGGAGAAGUUGUGGUGACCCAGACCCCACUCUCUCUGUCCAUCGCCCCUGGAGAGCCAGCCUCCAUCUCCUGCAAGGCCACUCAGAGCCUCCUGCAUAGUGAUGGAAAAACUAACUUGAACUGGGUUGUGCAUAAAUCAGGCCAGGCUCCACGACGCAUGAUUUAUCAGGUUUCCAAUCGAGACUCUUGGGUCUCUGACAGGUUCAGUGGCACUGGGUCAGGCACAGAUUUCUCUCUCAAAAUUAGCAGGGUGGAAGCUGAGGAUGCUGGAGUUUAUUACUGUUAGCAAGGUACACAUGUUCCUCACACAGUGCUACAGCCCUGAACAAAAACCUCCCUGCCUGGGGAGGCUCAGCUGCCCUCCUGCACUGCUGUCUGGGGAGCAGCACAGCACACAGCCUGCUCUCUGUGAGAGGAAGAGCUUGAAGAAGCAGAACAACAAGAAGCAGCUGAGGCCUCUGCCUGGCACUGAGAGU
Cavia porcellus (domestic guinea pig) is the source of this 573-nucleotide non-coding RNA. The record is from the annotation of a RefSeq genome assembly. NCBI's taxonomy places the organism in Eukaryota, Metazoa, Chordata, Mammalia, Rodentia, Caviidae.